This 254-nucleotide unclassified non-coding RNA is filed under the name Basidiomycota sp. RNAcentral describes it as "partial contains small subunit ribosomal RNA, internal transcribed spacer 1, and 5.8S ribosomal RNA". The stretch from base 1 to 47 matches the Rfam family "Eukaryotic small subunit ribosomal RNA", at positions 1785 to 1831 of the family's 1831-position model. The record is from RNAcentral. Lineage: Eukaryota; Fungi; Basidiomycota.
AAAGUCGUAACAAGGUUUCCGUAGGUGAACCUGCGGAAGGAUCAUUAUUGAAUCCAAAGGAUGUUGCUGGCCUUUCGGGGCAUGUGCACUCCACCUUUUCAAUACACCUGUGAACUUAUUGUAGGUGCAGAUGUAAAAAGUCUGUCGCCUACGUUUUAACACACCCCUAAAAAAGUCUAUUGAAUGUCUUAAUUGUGGCCUUGAACGGUCAACAAAACUUAAUACAACUUUCAACAAUGGAUCUCUUGGUUCUC